Molecule: ribosomal RNA, 490 nt
Filed under: uncultured bacterium
Lineage: Bacteria
Description: partial 16S ribosomal RNA
Rfam family: Bacterial small subunit ribosomal RNA
Source: RNAcentral
GACGAACGCUGGCGGUAUGCUUAACACAUGCAAGUCGAACGAGACGAGGUGGAAGUGCUUGCACGGAAAUCUUAGAAAGUGGCGAACGGGUGAGUAACGCGUGGGUAACCUGCCCUAUGGAAAGGACUCGCCUCGGGAAACUGGGAGUAAUGCCUUAUAAUACAGUGAAGUCGCAUGGCUUUGCUGUUAGACGCUCCGGUGCCAUAGGAUGGACCCGCGUCCAAUUAGCUCGUUGGUGAGAAAAAAGCCCACCAAGGCGACGAUGGGUAACCGGUCAGAGGGGGCGAACGGUAACACUGGAACUGAGACACGGUCCAGACUCCUACGGGAGGCAGCAGUGGGGAAUAUUGCGCAAUGGGGGUAUCCCUGACGCAGCAAUACCGCGUGAGUGAAGAAGGUUUUCGGAUCGUAAAGCUCUGUUAUUGGGGAAGAAAAAAGACGGUACCCAAGAAGAAAGUCCCGGCUAACUACGUGCCAGCCGCCGCAGUAA